This 1477-nucleotide long non-coding RNA is filed under the name Homo sapiens (human). Its description in RNAcentral is "non-protein coding lnc-CRYBA4-12:1". The record is from RNAcentral. Lineage: Eukaryota; Metazoa; Chordata; Mammalia; Primates; Hominidae.
UAAAGAUGUCUAGGUGGGUAGGUUGAUGGACAGAUGGAUAGAGAGGCUUUUCUUUACUACAGGACGUCUCAUAACUUUUAUUAUAAUAACAUAUAUUAUGGAUCUCUAAGAAGGGGAUUUGCUGGGCUCCUAGACAUUGAUUACCAAGAAAUCCUUUUAUCAAAAGCAUCUCAUGGGGCUAUUAUUUCAUAGGAUUCAUUUAAAGGACACUUCAUCUAACCAGCUAGGUUAUCUGUACCUACACUUAACUAUGGCCAACAUUCACUGAACUCAGUGCGUGUCAGGCAUCUUGCUGAGCAUGUUAUAAAUGUAGCGUACGGUUUAGUCCUCAUGAUCGUCUUUGAAAGCGUGAGUGAUUGUGUGGUUGAAAAACUGUAAGAGUGAAGGAAUGAGGGGUGGGUACCAAUCGGGGCCCCAGCAGGGAACAGAUGGCAUAUUCAAAGAGGCUGUGAUGAUAGAAAAGAACUGAAAAUAACCACAGAGGACCACACAUCACCCUAGGGCUUCUAGAGUAAGGACCUGUCACCAUCCCUAGGCCUGAGGGGGCAAGGCCAGGGGGCUAUUUCAGGGGAUCAGAGAUAGUAGCUAUUGAAGAGGGCUGCUUGGCAAUGGAUGUGACCUCUGGUAGAGGGACCCAGCCAGCCUGCAGUCCAGCAGAGAGGAAGGCAGGGAAUCAAUACUCUGAUCUCUUUUUCCCCUCCUUUCCUCCUCUUGCUUGCACCUCCCAUUGGCAGGACCUACCCAGAAGCUGGAGGGCUCCAGAUCCCCUUGGUGUAGCUCACCCUUCCCGGGCACAGAGCAGGGAGAAGAGGGAUGGAGAGUGAGUGUGGAGGGGUAAAUGGGAGACAUCUCACGCUAAGGAGUGAGUGAGGGCAAGACUUGAGUGACUGAAUGAGAGCAUGAGGGAGUAGGGAAGGAAAGCAGCUGUCUCCCCGUGAUCUGAGCCCCUCCCCAAAAGCCACCUUCCCCUCCUGCUCCAAACACCACCCAGGACCCAGACUUGGGGUCAAAAGGAAGGAAAGAAGGAAGGAAGGAAGGGAGGGAGGAAAGGAGGAAGGAAAGAAAGAGAGAAAGAAGGAAGGGAAGGAGGGAAAGUGGGAGAGGACAUAGGGUGGGAAGAAGAAAGAAGAGAAGGAAAUAAAGAAGGAAAAAAGAGAGAGGAACGGGAGAAGGAAAGAAGGGAGAGGGAAAGAAGGGAAGGUGGGCAGGAGGGAGGGAAACAGAGUCUCCAGUUUGUCUUCACCCCUCCUAGAGGCAACAAUGCUACAGGUUUUUAAGAAGUCUUCCUGAAAUAUACUAUGCACAUACAAGCGAUUUUAUUUAUGCAUUUCUCUCUUUUGCAGAGAUUACUGGGCAUGCAAUCAUGCAUCUUGCCUCAUUUGCUUAACAAUCCGUCUCGGGGAUUAUUUCCAACGUGUCCAUGAAGACCGUCCUCAUUCUACUUCACGCUCAUGUUAUGCCACACAUAGAGGGGCCA